Non-coding RNA from Cricetulus griseus (Chinese hamster), 1469 nucleotides. The record is from RefSeq and is a predicted model, not a curated record. Lineage: Eukaryota; Metazoa; Chordata; Mammalia; Rodentia; Cricetidae.
GGGGAGGAUUCAGCUACUGUGGGGAGGAGGGUGUUGGGAACAGGUUCAUCCCCCCCUUUUUGUUCUGUUUAUUUAUGUCUUUGUGCCAUGAAUGGCUCGAGUGUUGAGGGAGUAAACUGACAGUUUUGGAUACACACUACAGCAUGGAUGGACUGUGAUGACAUGUGUUAAGUGAAAAGAUGGCACGGCGUGCCAAAUACUGAGCGUCCCAUUUACAUAAAUAACCCAGCAGUGUCAGACUCACGGGGACAGAGUGGAAUGGAAGCUUCUAGGAUCUGGGUGUCUGGAGAAGCAGGGAGCUGCACUCAUUACCAGUGCCAACGACACAUCCCAGAAGCGAUGUCUUGGAAUCAGAAUUUGCAUUCCCGCAUAUUUCCUGGCUGUCCUGAUCCACACCAGAACCGCAGGAACUGAGGUGUCAUCGUCUUCCUGUCUGCCCAGCUCACAGACUGCUGGUUGCAUUCCUGACACACACUGAACUUAGUGGGCUAAGGCGGAGCAAAGUUUCUCUGUUUGGGUCGCAGAUGGCACAGCGGCAGGUUGGAGGUGUGGCUGCCUUUGCAUGCCAUCGCUGCCAUUCUCUAGACCCUUUGGGUUUCUUUCCUUACUCGAUGUUACCGCGCUUCUACCGCGCUGAAAGAGAAUGCCCUAUCAUCUUCCCCGACAGCAUGUACCAAAUGCAGCUUGCUCUGCACAACUUGGCAAUAAUGUACUUUCCUCAUCUACCGGAGCACCUGUCAUCUUCAUAGCCUCUCUCUCCUGGGGAGUCCUCCCUUCCUGAGGGUUGCUUUUCAAACACAACCAACACGACUGCCGUCUUUUAUUUGCUCUUUCCUCUGGGCCACUAAUACCCUGCCUUUAGUAGUAGCUUCAAGAGCCAGGUGGCUAGGCCUGAUGAAAUGAUGUAAACCAGCCAAUCCUAAACAUGUCUAUCCUGUCUCAUUCCUUCCUUCCCAUGUGCAGUGCUGAGCUUUACCUGAUACCUGACACAACCCGGAAGCCCCUGGGAAGAGUUUUAAUAAGAACUUAUCUAGAUCAGGGUGGCCCCGUGGGCAUAUCUAUAGGCGAUUAUCUUGACUGUUAUUGUUACAGGAAGGCCCAGCCCACUGUGGGCAGCACAUUCCUUAGGCUGGGCCCUGAAUUGUACUAGCGAUGAAAACUAGCGAGCGGAUAAGCAGCAUGUGUGCGUGUAUUCCUUGCUGCUCUUGACUGCAAAUAUGAUGCUUAAGUUCCUAACUCGACUUUCCCACAACAAGGGGCUGUAACCUGGAAUUGGAAGUCAAUAAAUUCUUCUUCUAAGCUACUUUUUGUUAGGACAUUUUUAUCACAGCAACAGAAAUGAAACCAGGACAUUGUGGAAAUCAGUAACGGCUCUUGUCAUGGUUUCACCUUGUCUUUACACACCCUCACUGGUACUUCUACCUCUGUGUUACGACAUGCAGCCUAGGCUGGGAUCUAUAACAAAUCUU